RNAcentral lists this ribosomal RNA (451 nucleotides) under Nemipterus hexodon (ornate threadfin bream). Its description in RNAcentral is "partial 12S ribosomal RNA". It matches the Rfam family "Bacterial small subunit ribosomal RNA", at positions 868 to 1481 of the family's 1533-position model. The record is from RNAcentral. Lineage: Eukaryota; Metazoa; Chordata; Actinopteri; Spariformes; Nemipteridae.
UUCGCCUGGUAACUACGAGCUCAUCAAAUUUCAAGCUUAAAAGCCAAAGGACUUGGCGGUGCUUCAAACCCCCCUAGAGGAGCCUGUUCUAUAACCGAUAAUCCCCGUUAAACCUCACCCUUCCCAGCCCACUCCAGCUUAUAUACCGCCGUCGUCAGCUUACCCCGUGAGGGUCUUUUUAACACAUAAACAAAAAGUAGGCAAAAUUGGUUCAUCCCCAGCAAGUCAGGUCGAGGUGUAGCAUAAGGAAGGGGAAGAAAUGGGCUACAUUCUCUAAUGCAGAGAACACAGCGGAUCGUCCUGAAACAAGACAUCCAAAGGUGGAUUUAGCAGUAAGAGGGAAGCAGAGUGCCCCUCUGAAGACGGCCCUGAAGUGCGUACACACCGCCCGUCACUCUCCCCAAGCACUGUCGCAGCACCUAAAUAAAAAGUUAGAUAAGCACAGGGGAGG